GUAGAAAAGAGCCACAUACUACGUGUUUUGAUUUGAAUAUCAUUGUCUGCCACCUACUCACCGCCUCUUUCUCUUCCCCACCGCCUCCGGUAUCUUUCACUAUCUUUGUCGAUUUCUUUUUUUGCCUCCUCUCAAACGACGAACAGCUCCUUCCUUCUUCCUCCUUCCACACAGUACAUGACGAAGGUACUUCUCCGUCCACUGUCAAUCUUCUACCUGAAACCAGAAGAAAAAUCACCGACAAGGUUACUGUAAGGAUCUGAAGGUUCAAGAACUUCACGUGCUUGCUAUCUUCUACAGCUUCAAAGCCUCAAUCGACUUUCUUUUCAGAUGCGUUAUCUUCCUCUGAUGGUUCCCACCGUUAACCGGUUCUUCCAAUCAGUUUCCAUCCUCCGUCUCUCAGUCCUCUUUCUAUCUAACCCUACAAGCCAUCGUCAACGAACAACCAUCCUCAACAUUGUUACUGGCUAUGGCGCUACUUGAGGCAAUCGGCGGCGGAGCUAAUCCGGCAGACCGCUGGUGAAAUAUUAAUUCGGCUUUUUAUGGGAAACAACCAUCAGUUCUUAAUUUCUUCCACCAACAGAAAUUGAAUGGGUGUAAAAAGUUGAAAUUGUGCCCAAACAUUACCUGUGCGCUUCUUCUACAGUUAUGCAAAUUUGCGACUUCAGGUAAACAACAAUAGACAUGUCCUCGCAUUCCUGUUUUUCGUUGUUAGGCACAAUUUUUUUCGUUUUUGUAAUGUACAUGUCGUCGGAGAUGAUGAAGUGCAAAGUCUUCUGGUGACUUCCAUUCCUGUUCGCUCCAACUACCACAUCCUAUGAACUUAUCUGGGUCUCAUCUAUGCCUGUCUACACCAUCGCUACACAAAGAUUGAAGACUGCUAAAACCCACUGCCAAUUCUGGUCUGCCAGGUGCUCGAUAUAAUGUCGAGGAUUAGGUCCUUUUCGGCAUGCAACAAAAACUUGACAAAUUAUGUCAACAGGUGAAUUACUUGAAGGACCAGCCUAAAUGAUUCUACACAUGCCUUUCAGCAGGUAAUGUGUGAACUAUCUCAUAAACAACAAUUUUAUCCGGUACAACUCCAAAAACGAAUGGGUUCUCAAUUUAGAUGUGGGUAAAGACGGUAAAUGUUUUGCACAUGUAAGGUUUAACCAGUCAAAUUAGGUCCUGGGUCAACCGGAAGACUGUCAGUUGACUGCUCAUCGGUUCGACCUUAGGUUCCAACUUUUUAUGUUCAGGUAACUAGUCAUGACUCCACCCUUUUAGGUAGAUGUAGAAGAACAUAUGCGCAUGCUCAUGACUAUCAUAUUAAUUCCAUUUCUAAUAAUAGUAAUGGUGAAACAUUGAUCUCAGCUGAUGAUUUACGCAUAAACCUUUGGAACUUUGAAAUCAACAGUUAGAGUUUUAAUAUUGUAGACAUGAAGCCUGCAAACAUGGACGACUUAACUGGUGUACGAAGGCUUUGCCGUAUGUCUGCUAUAAUAGAAAAAAUUGGGAAGUGUCAUAUGCUUGCUAUAACAGAAAAAAAAUUAGGAAUUCAUAAGUAUAUGAAGUGCUACAUACAUAAAGCAUAAAUUUCUUGAGUUGAUUAACCAUCCUGGUCACAAUUCUUUUACAAAUGAAUAGAAAGAAAUAGAGAGGUGGAAUAAGGGAAACAUAAUUUGUUAUGGCUUUUGUUGGCUGGAAAUAGACUGAAAAGGAGCUGCAACCAAUCAAGCAUCUUUCUCUGUUUAGUGUCGUGCCGACUCUAAAUAGAGGACUUCUUUCACAAGGGGGAGUAUUGAGGCGAUGAUGAGUUUUAUUUUUGAAAAGAUUUUGUGUUAUCGAGUAUCGGGUGAAAUUGAGGUUUGUAUUUUGGCGGGGCAACUCGGAAGGCAUUGCGGUCGGAUAUUGCAACCGGUGUUUGCAGCCAUCCCGGUGUUUCACCCCUUUUUCCUGAGCCUCCUCCGGUUGAAAUUCAGGGUCGUCUUUUUGAUUUAGUGUUAGUUUUUGUUUUUAUGAUGGUUGGAGUGAGGGUUAUUUGUUGUGAUGUUCUUUUUACCCCAAUCGAUAGAAACUUGGUGGCCACUCCAUCCAUCUUCUUCCUAACGGUCGUUGAUGAAGUUAAGCAUUUCUUCAACACCGCCAUCACCACCAUCUUUAUGAAGCUUCUGCUAUCGGUAGGCUUAUUUUUUUUCAUCUCACUGCAACUUUAGUUGUCACCUGUUUUCAAAGUUGUCGAUUGUAAAACCUCGAUGGAUGAGGACCAUGAGUGAUUUGUGCACCAACUAAGGGGUUAUUAGAAGCAGAUGGAAUGUAAAACUUAAGACUGGCAUUGUUUCCUUUUCCCUAACAUUUCAUUAGGGUGGUUCUAUUAGUCUACAAAUAAAAAAAAAUCACAGAUUGUUGGGUUCCUCACCACCAUGAGAAGUUGAGAAAAAAACUUCAACCGACAAAUGGUUGCAACAUUCGCUAAGAUUUCCAAAUCAGAGGUAAUCCCCUGUUAUUUUGAACUCAUUACUUUGUUUCUUUAAUAACCUUUUCUUGCAAUUCUCUUCAAACAUAAGUUGGUGGUUCGUUUCUUGAAAUGGGAGAUUUGAAGACGAUUGAUUCAUGUUUAUAGCAAUUUGAAGUCAAACAGUUAUGUUUCUUUUUUAAUCUCAGGUUAUCAUUUUAGUUUUUGGAUAUCUCACAUUCCACUAAUUUUGAAUUGGUUUGAUUUUUUACUUCUUCGUAUCUGAACUUCUAUUUUUUGUUUUGUGUUGUCUGUUUCUUCUGAUCUUCAUUUCAAAUUGUAUAUAAUGAAUUAGGUAGUGCGCCUAUCUUCUUGAGUUUAAGUAGUAAAAAAUAAGAAUGGCAGAAAGAAAGCUGUUGAACAAAUACUACCCCCGUAUUUUGAUCCGGUUAAAAAAAAGAAUGAGAGAAGUUGAAUUUAUAAGAAUUAUGAUCUGCCACUGUGUUUAGUUGACAUUUAAUUUAGAUGAAGGUCAAUAAUGAAAAUUGAAUAACUUCACCCUUUGUAUUUUAUAAUUAAAUUUCUUUUUAUUAACGGUAUAUAUAUAAUUACAACUUUUAUUUAUAUUUCUUUCCUGACAUGUGAAUGACAUGUGAAAGCAGACAAAUAUUCAGUGAUAGUUUUAUGAGUUCCCCAAAUACACCAACCAACGUAUGAGCAAGAAGAAAGUAUCAACUGCUUUAUUUGUCAUACUUUCUUUACAUGCCAUUCUACAGCAACAUAUUCCUAAGACUAGAUAAAAGCUCAUUGCCCAUAAAAAAAAAACCCAAGCUGUAUUCAGAUGGUUUUCUUCAUAACUACUUUUCCAAUUUUACCCUUAUUGUUACAAUUCUAGGUGAGGAGGAUAACAAGUUCUAAUUGCCCAUUUUAUUUUAACAAUGGUUUAACACCUAUGAAGUUGGAGUUUGGGAUUCCA
Long non-coding RNA from Lactuca sativa (garden lettuce), 3410 nucleotides. RefSeq lists it as uncharacterized. The record is from RefSeq and is a predicted model, not a curated record. NCBI's taxonomy places the organism in Eukaryota, Viridiplantae, Streptophyta, Magnoliopsida, Asterales, Asteraceae.